Molecule: ribosomal RNA, 446 nt
Filed under: uncultured bacterium
Lineage: Bacteria
Description: SSU rRNA
Rfam family: Bacterial small subunit ribosomal RNA
Source: RNAcentral
AGAGCGAACGCUGGCGGCAGGCCUAAUACAUGCAAGUCGAACGAGCCCUUCGGGGCUAGUGGCGGACGGGUGAGUAACACGUGGGAACGUGCCUUUUGGUUCGGAACAACUCAGGGAAACUUGAGCUAAUACCGAAUGUGCCCUUCGGGGGAAAGAUUUAUCGCCAUUAGAGCGGCCCGCGUCUGAUUAGCUAGUUGGUGAGGUAAAGGCCCACCAAGGCUACGAUCAGUAGCUGGUCUGAGAGGAUGAUCAGCCACACUGGGACUGAGACACGGCCCAGACUCCUACGGGAGGCAGCAGUAGGGAAUCUUGCGCAAUGGGCGAAAGCCUGACGCAGCCAUGCCGCGUGAAUGAUGAAGGUCUUAGGAUUGUAAAAUUCUUUCAGCGGGGACGAUAAUGACGGUACCCGCAGAAGAACGCCCGGCUAACUUCGUGCCAGCAGCCGC